AUUUAUGACCAUACUACCCUGAAUAAGCUUGAUUUUUCUGAUCUCAAAAUCUAAGCAGGGUCAGCCUAGUUAGUAUCUCAGUGGGAGAAUAGUCAGUUCAGCUUAGGUU
RNAcentral lists this ribosomal RNA (109 nucleotides) under Mus spretus (western wild mouse). RNAcentral describes it as "predicted gene, 54432 (ENSMSPG00010047940.1)". Lineage: Eukaryota; Metazoa; Chordata; Mammalia; Rodentia; Muridae. The record is from RNAcentral.